This 567-nucleotide ribosomal RNA is filed under the name uncultured bacterium. RNAcentral's name for it is "bacterial SSU rRNA". It matches the Rfam family "Bacterial small subunit ribosomal RNA", at positions 338 to 916 of the family's 1533-position model. The record is from RNAcentral.
CCUACGGGAGGCAGCAGUAGGGAAUAUUGGGCAAUGGGCGAAAGCCUGACCCAGCGACGCCGCGUGAGGGAUGAAGGUCUUCGGAUUGUAAACCUCUUUCAGUAGGGAAGAAGCGAAAGUGACGGUACCUAAAGAAGAAGCACCGGCUAACUAUGUGCUAGCAGCCGCGGUAAUACAUAGGGUGCAAGCGUUGUCCGGAAUUAUUGGGCGUAAAGAGCUCGUAGGUCGUUUGUCGCGUCGAUUGUGAAAAUCUGAGGCUCAACCUCAGACCUGCAGUCGAUACGGGCAAACUAGAGUGUGGUAGGGGAGACUGGAAUUCCUGGUGUAGCGGUGGAAUGCGCAGAUAUCAGGAGGAACACCAAUGGCGAAGGCAGGUCUCUGGGCCAUAACUGACACUGAGGAGCGAAAGUGCGGGGAGCGAACAGGAUUAGAUACCCUGGUAGUCCGCACCGUAAACGGUGGGCACUAGUUGUGGGAACCUUCCACGGUUUCCGCGACGCAGCAAACGCAUUAAGUGCCCCGCCUGGGGAGUACGAUCACAAGAUUAAAACUCAAAGGAAUUGACGG